Long non-coding RNA from Equus caballus (horse), 3782 nucleotides. Lineage: Eukaryota; Metazoa; Chordata; Mammalia; Perissodactyla; Equidae. The record is from Ensembl.
GCGGGGGCGUCCCCGGGCCCUGGCGCGGCGCCUGGAGCUCCUGCUGCUGGAAGCGCCAUGUGACCGUGACUCUGCACAAGCCGGGAACGCGGAGAAACAAAGGGCGGCUCAGCGGCCACCGGGCGCUCAGGCUGGCACGGAGGGCCCGGCCCCAACCCCAACCGGGGCCCCGCACUCUUGUCCCUACGGACCCUCGGUGCCCAGGGCGAGCAGGGAGGCGCCGGAUCCUGCUGAGGCCCGGGGCGGGGAGCGCGGCCUCCCAGGGAGCUGGGGAGGGAGGGCAGGCCUGAGGACGCUGAAAUGCAAGUGCGAGGCGGGGUGGGCGAUGUCGGGUCCGGGCUGGGCCGUGGAGUGUUGCAGGUUCCUUCCUCACGGCUGGCUCUGGCAAAUGACCCUCCCUGAACCUCUGUUUCUGUAAUAGAGGUGAAGAUAAUCGUCCCCACGCAAUUAUCCUAGGGUUAGGAGGCUUAAGGGAGGCGUCCCAUGUAGAGCGGUGAGGACAGCACAGGGUUGUCGGGCCGCAUUCUAGCUCCUCUCCCACAUAAACAUGCACAGGAUUUCGGGUCACUGAGCUGCCACUUUCCAGUCACAGCAGGGAUGUAGUUCCGGCCAGAGCACCAGGAAGAGGAGCAGGAUGGGGCAGCUGGCACAGGGCGGAGCCAGGGUGGGCACCGCUGCGUAUAUGGAGAGGGGAUUAGCACUGGGGCUCUAGCAGAAGCGGGGAGAUAGGAAAUCCCAAGACAGCCUGGUUAUCCGGCCCUGGCUCUCUCCCGGCCCUGGAUGGGAGUGGCUUGUCUCCUAGUCACUUUCCCCAGCCCAGGGGGAACAAAGGGGCUGGAGAGGGUGGGGGCCCACCUUGGAGUGGGCCUCAGGGUACAUUGAGACUCCUGCCUCCGCACCAGAUUUGCAGGUUUGACUUCUCCUGAGGAAGCCUCCACCCUAUGGCCACAAGGCCCUAGGGCCUGUAUUUACAGAGUUCUGAAUUUACCUGGCCCUAAAACCACGUGGCCUGUGCAUGCAUAAUAGAGGCCACAGCACAGAGCUCUUGAGGUAGUGGCCCAGUGGGGACUCUGGGCUUGGUCCCAGCUGGGGGACUGACGUUAAGGAUCUAGCCUCCGUUCCUUCCCUGCCUGGGGAAAAAGAGAAGAGGAGCAGUCCAGGCACUGGCGACAGCCUGUAAUAAGAGGCCCUGAGUGCCACCAAGAGCAUGGUUGGAGAGUGACUCAGCCUCGUUGGUGCCUCCUCAGCAUGCAGGACAGGACCAACUGCUGCUACUGCCCACUAUUGUGUAUCCAGGACCUGGAAUACGAUUAGCCCUAGCUAAUCACCAACUGGGGGAUCAAGUGCUGGAGAAAUGCCAUUUGGUGAAGAAGCCCAUGGAUUGCCAAGAGUGGUUUGCCUGUCUCCAAUGGCCCGGAAGGACCUAUAGGGUGAAGUGUGAGGUGGGGAAGGGCGUGAAUGUCGUGGCUACCCCCAGACAAGACCCCACCCGCCGGGGCUCUGAGUGUGCUCGAUGCAACCGUCCAGCAAGCUUUCUGCUUUGGUUUCUAAAGAGUUAGGCUGACUGCCACAAAAACAUGGGCUCUGGAGUCCCAAGGACCCAGGUUUGAAUCUGGCUCCGUCACUCACUACCUGUGUGGCCCUAACCGUGGUCUCUUUACUUUUAAAAUGGAGCUAAUGAUACCUGCUUCUUAGAGUUGUUGUGAGAAUGAGAAAUUGUAUAUGUACGUGACAUGUACUUAGCCUAACACAGAGCCUGGCAUAUAGUAGAGCCGAAUGAUUGGUUCCUAAUGACAGUCCUGACUGUGGAGAGGCAGAGCCUGGUGCUGGCCCUCCCUGCAGGCUCCAUUCUCAGGGGCUCCCUCUGAUCUGGGCUUCUCCAGCACCCCUCUGCCACGUGACCUUCAGGCAUUGUAGGCACCGUCAUUAUUUUCUCUGCCCACCUGGGUUUCCCAUCCCCCUCCUCCUGGUAACACAGCCCACUUUCCCCACCAUGGGACCAGGUGUGUGAACUAGGUCUGGCUGGGACCACAACAGGCCCACUCAAAGCCUUCUCUGAGAUGGAUAUGUUGAUGUGGAGAGAGAGAAGCCCUCUUUUCAAAUCUUUGCCAAUGGCCACGUGCCCCACCACGGCGACAGAGCCUGCGUACAGAGGUCAGGCAAAGACAAGGAGAAAAACCAUCCUGGCUUUCCCCAUAGUGCCUCUCUCAGCUGCGUGAGCUAGAAAUUUCCUUUUUGGUGUAAGCUAGUGGCAAUAUGGCUUCUGAUAUUUGUAAAGAAGACUCCUGCUUGGUACAGGCACUUGUGUCCUUGGAAUUUGGGGACAUAAGGAAUUUGUCUGAAGUACAGAGCAGUUAGUGGUAGAACCAGAAUUCAGGCUUGUUUGGCUGGCUGUCUAUUCACCAUAAACUAUACCACACCUUCCACACAUCAUUCACAAGUUCUUUAUCGAGUGCAUGCUAUGUGCCAGACGCCAAACUCACCUCCCACUCCUCCUUCCACAGCUACUGAAGUCCCCAUGCCCUCAUUCACUCCCAGUCUUUAAGGACCCUGUCAGGAGACAUAAAAAACUGCCCUUCUCCACCAGGAUAGGGCCCAGCACACUCACUGUCUUCCCAGAAUCGGUACUUCAAGAAUCCUCCUCAAAUACGAAGGAUGUGAGAGGAGCCAGCCGCUACCUGCCUACCGCAGUCUGCUCAGCGUGGACUGGCUCCACUUCCUGCUUCCUCAUUCUGCUCAAGGUGUCACCAUGCUUACGGUCGAGGACACCGAUCUGGGCCCGGGAUCUCACCUGACUCUCUCCAGGCUCCCCAAGGACCAAAGCUCUAUUGUGGGAUCAAGGCCCCAUCUGCCUUCCUGGAGUUCCAACCAUGGCCUGCUGCCAAGUCCUGCUCCCCACCACCCUCCAUUGCCUUGUUCCCCCUGGAUUUCCACCACAGGUAACGGUGUGAAGUCAGGGUGAACUUAAUUGGGGUGAAGGAUGACUGCUGCAUUAAAUUGGAUGGAACUGGUCUGUUCAACCACUGCCCAUUAAAAAUGGUGGCCUUUCUUUAACAUAGCCAUAAUGAGACCAUCCCUCCAGAGAAAAGUGCUAAUAGAAUCACCCGCCUUGAAUGCUUAACUCUUACUCAAUGCCUUGACCUGGACGUCUGAUAGACAUGGCCCACAUACUAUCUAAAAUCAAACCUUUUCUUCCCCCCAAACCUGCUCAUUCCACAGCGUUCCCUAGCUCAGUAAAAGACUACAUGGCACCUUCGUUCUUUCAGUGCUCAGACCAAAACCAGUUUAAGGUCUCCUUUGAUGUGUUUCCUUUACUCACACUCUACAGUAAAUAUAUCAGUAAAUCCUUCAUUGGCUCUACCUUCAAAAUAUAUCCACCACUUCCCCUGCUGCCACUGUUCCUAGCCACUGAAGUCUUGACCAUGACCUCCCAGGCUCCAUGUCAUCUGGCCCACUGCCACCUCCCUGGUCUCAUCUCCUGCCACUCUGCCUACUUUGCUCCUGCUGCACUGGCCUUCUUGCUGGUCCUCAGGCACCACAGCCCACUCUUGCCUCGAGGCCUUUGCCCUGCUGUCCUCUCACUUGGAAUUUUCUCCCCGGGCACUCACAAUGCUGGCUUUCUCAUUUUCUUGUGGUCCCUGCCCAGAUGUCACUUCCUCAGUGAGACCUCCAGACCACCCUAUUUAAGGUAAACCCUCCCACAUUCAAUACUCCCACACGCUAGAUCCCUCUUUGCGUUUUUUUUGUUGUUGUACUUAUCACGACUUGGCAUAUCAUCUGUG